Molecule: ribosomal RNA, 429 nt
Filed under: Lancefieldella rimae
Lineage: Bacteria; Bacillati; Actinomycetota; Coriobacteriia; Coriobacteriales; Atopobiaceae
Description: bacterial SSU rRNA
Rfam family: Bacterial small subunit ribosomal RNA
Source: RNAcentral
GAUGAACGCUGGCGGCGCGCCUAACACAUGCAAGUCGAACGGUUAAAGCACCUUUUAGGUGAGUAUAAAGUGGCGAACGGCUGAGUAACACGUGGGCAACCUGCCCUCCUCUUGGGGAUAGCCUCGGGAAACCGAGGAUAAUACCCGAUACUUCAAUGUGGCCGCAUGACGACAUUGAGAAAGCUUUUGCGGAGAAGGAUGGGCCCGCGGCCUGUUAGCUUGUUGGUGGGGUAGAGGCCUACCAAGGCAAUGAUGGGUAGCUGGGUUGAGAGACCGACCAGCCAGAUUGGGACUGAGACACGGCCCAGACCCCUACGGGAGGCAGCAGUGGGGAAUCUUGCACAAUGGGCGAAAGCCUGAUGCAGCGACGCCGCGUGCGGGACGAAGGCCUUCGGGUUGUAAACCGCUUUCAGCAGGGACGAGGCGAAA